RNAcentral lists this ribosomal RNA (419 nucleotides) under uncultured bacterium. Its description in RNAcentral is "partial 16S ribosomal RNA". It matches the Rfam family "Bacterial small subunit ribosomal RNA", at positions 338 to 754 of the family's 1533-position model. The record is from RNAcentral.
CCUACGGGUGGCAGCAGUGAGGAAUAGUGGUCAAUGGGCGCGAGCCGGAACCAGCCAAGUAGCGUGAAGGAUGAAGGCCCUAUGGGUUGUAAACUUCUUUUAUAUGGGAAUAAAGUGCAGUAUGUAUACUGCUUUGCAUGUACCUUAUGAAUAAGGAGCGGCUAACUCCGUGCCAGCAGCCGCGGUAAUACGGAGGAUCCGAGCGUUAUCCGGAUUUAUUGGGUUUCAAGGGAGCGUAGGCGGGUUGUUAAGUCAGUUGUGAAAGUUUGCGGCUCAACCGUAAAAUUGCAGUUGAUACUGGCAUCAUUGAGUACAGUAGAGGUAUGCGGAAUUCGUGGUGUAGCGGUGAAAUGCUUAGAUAUCACGAAGAACUCCGAUUGCGAAGGCAGCCUGCUGGACUGUACCUGCCGCUGCUGCUC